AUUGAACGCUGGCGGCAUGCUUUACACAUGCAAGUCGAACGGCAGCGCGGGCUUCGGCCUGGCGGCGAGUGGCGAACGGGUGAGUAAUACAUCGGAACGUGCCCAGUAGUGGGGGAUAGCUCGGCGAAAGCCGGAUUAAUACCGCAUACGACCUGAGGGUGAAAGCGGGGGAUCUUCGGACCUCGCGCUAUUGGAGCGGCCGAUGGCAGAUUAGCUUGUUGGUGGGGUAAAGGCCUACCAAGGCGACGAUCUGUAGCUGGUCUGAGAGGACGACCAGCCACACUGGGACUGAGACACGGCCCAGACUCCUACGGGAGGCAGCAGUGGGGAAUUUUGGACAAUGGGCGCAAGCCUGAUCCAGCAAUGCCGCGUGUGUGAUGAAGGCCUUCGGGUUGUAAAGCACUUUUGGCGGGAACGAAAAGGACUGUGCCAAUACCACGGUUCGAUGACGGUACCCGCAGAAUAAGCACCGGCUAACUACGUGCCAGCAGCCGCGGUAAUACGUAGGGUGCGAGCGUUAAU
Molecule: ribosomal RNA, 522 nt
Filed under: uncultured bacterium
Lineage: Bacteria
Description: bacterial SSU rRNA
Rfam family: Bacterial small subunit ribosomal RNA
Source: RNAcentral